Molecule: long non-coding RNA, 2030 nt
Filed under: Fukomys damarensis (Damara mole-rat)
Lineage: Eukaryota; Metazoa; Chordata; Mammalia; Rodentia; Bathyergidae
Description: lncRNA (ENSFDAG00000032901.1)
Source: RNAcentral
AUGGGUCCUGGCAGAAGGCAGGGAGCCCUUUACAAACUAAAGCCUUGGGCGAAAAGCCAAGGGUCAUUGUCCAAGGUGAGGGCUGGGGCUGGAGACGCCCGCAUCCUCCUCCCCUGCUCGAGCCCCAGGCUUUCUGCAUCCGAUGGGGACUGUAACCUACCCCAGACAGGGGAGAGGGUUGAAGGGAGAAGCUGCAGUUCCUUGGAAUUUCCUAACACUGACUACCCGAAUUGGGUAAAAGGAUGCUGCCCCCUCACACCCAGAAGACUGGGCCAGAUUCUCCAGAGCUGCCACCUACUGGACCAGAAAUUAAGUUCGCGAGGGCGGGGUCCAUACCAGAGCCGGGGUCAUCGCAGGGCCAGGGUCCUAUCAGAUUGGCUCACACCAGGCAGGAUGCGGGGCUGCCCCUGUUCCCCCUCCGUACUGAGGGGGGUCCCCGAAGAGGAGAGGAACUACCACAAGGCUCCUAGGAAAGUCAUCAGCUUCAUCAUCCACUGGCUGCUGCUUUGUGACUGCAAGGCAACCACAGUAACUUGAGUCUAGAAGUUUGAGUCCAGCCCAGGCAACACAGGAAGACCCUAUCUCCAAAAAAAAAUUUUUUGAAUUCAGAAAGAGAACAAUCAAGGCGAGGACAAAUUAGCAAAGUAGAAGAUAACUUUGAGUAAAUCCAAUGUGGAGGAAAAUCAUCCCAUAGUGGGAAGAAGAUGUGAAAGACAGUCCUAGGAAGGGUAUCAUGUAAUGAACAGGAGCCCAGAGUCAGCUAGAAGAGAAACACAGAUUAAAGAAGAGCCAAAUAAUGUCCCUGAGCUGAGCUGUGCCAUGGUUCCAAACCCGGAUCCAGAGAAAGUCUUGCAAAAUUUCAGAAAGAGCAAGUCACAUCCAAAGGCAGGAGAAUCUGAGCUCCUCAGAUUCCUAGGGGACUUUGGAACAAGGUCCAGGCACUCUGGUUACACAAUCAAGGAUUCUUUCCAGGGGCUAUAAUGGGACUCAAUUGCCCUGGGCAAAAGAAGGGAUAUAUCCAACAUGGCAAGGCAGCGAGAAGGCACAUCUAUGCCUCUUUUCAGAGGAAAAACAGCUAUGAAGUUUUCCCCUCUCACAGACACAGCUCAGUCACAGUAGAGAUCAGAGAUAGGGAAGUUGCCCCAAACAGGAGGUGGUAGAGAGCAAUGACCCUUGUGAAAUGUAUGGUCUAACCUAAGAGUGUCUGUAAUUUUGUGCUGUGGUCAUUAAAUGAGGACUCUUGAAACAUAAGCCACAUGCUAUAGGGGAAAUCUGUAUUAGCCUUAAAAAAAAAAGUCUCUUAUGGAGAAGUCAGAACAGUCUACGCUCACAUCUGGUUGAGGAAGAGGGAGGAAGUAAGAGGGUCUGAUGUGGCACCUGGGAGAGACCAGAGAAGAAAGACUCAUGGCCAGGCACCCUUACCACUUACCUUUGUUUUUUUCUUUCUAUUUUUGGUAACAGGAAUUUUUGGUGACCUUAUUUAGAAAGAAGGCUUUGCAGAUCCAGUUAAGUCAAGGAUCUUGGAAUUCUAACCUGGGUUACUUGGGUGGGCCCAAAUUCUGAUCCGAGCACCCUUACAGGAGUGGAGAGGCAGAGGGAAAGUCGGCCACACAUGGAGAAGAGAAGGUGAUGUGAGGACAGAAGAGACAGCUGAAGGCCCUGGCCUUGGAGUGAUGCAGCCACAAGCCAAGGAGAGCUGGCUGGCCCCGGAAGCUGGAAGAGGCAAAGAACAGAUUCUGCCUGAUUUGGUCCUUGCAAUACUGAUUUCAGACUUCCGGCUACAGAACAGUGACAGAACACAUUUCCUUUCUGCUGCUGAGUUGUGGUAGUAUGCACCUGAAGUCACAGGAAACUCAGAUAAUCAGUCAUGUCAUGCCAGGGCUGUGGUCUUGCUGUAGUCUGGUGUCCAGCCAAGCACCUGUGGAUGAGCAGAGCAACCUCGGUGAAAACAGAACCAAGCCCUUGGCUCUUAAACAGAUUCCCAUCCAAAUCAAGGCAUCCACAGCCGAAUCACCUGUCUGAGGCCCAGC